GUGAGUAGUUCAGAGUUUGAUCCUGGCUCAGGAUGAACGCUGGCGGCGUGCUUAACACAUGCAAGUCGAACGGGGUUUAAGAAGGAAGCUUGCUUUCAUUUUAAACCUAGUGGCGGACGGGUGAGUAACGCGUGAGGAACCUGCCCUUCAUGGGGAACAACAACUAGAAAUGGUUGCUAAUACCGCAUAAUGUCGGAGAGCCGCAUGACUUUCCGACCAAAGGAUUUAUUCGCUGAAGGAUGGCCUCGCGUCCGAUUAGGUAGUUGGUGAGGUAACGGCCCACCAAGCCUACGAUCGGUAGCCGAACUGAGAGGUUGAUCGGCCACAUUGGGACUGAGACACGGCCCAG
RNAcentral lists this ribosomal RNA (349 nucleotides) under uncultured bacterium. RNAcentral's name for it is "bacterial SSU rRNA". It matches the Rfam family "Bacterial small subunit ribosomal RNA", at positions 1 to 334 of the family's 1533-position model. The record is from RNAcentral.